This 583-nucleotide ribosomal RNA is filed under the name uncultured bacterium. RNAcentral's name for it is "bacterial SSU rRNA". It matches the Rfam family "Bacterial small subunit ribosomal RNA", at positions 338 to 916 of the family's 1533-position model. The record is from RNAcentral.
CCUACGGGAGGCAGCAGUAAGGAAUAUUGGUCAAUGGGCGCAAGCCUGAACCAGCCAUGCCGCGUGCAGGAAGACGGCCCUAUGGGUUGUAAACUGCUUUUGAACAAGAGAAAACCUCGGUACGUGUACCGAGCUGAUAGUAUUGUUAGAAUAAGCAUCGGCUAACUUCGUGCCAGCAGCCGCGGUAAGACGAAGGAUGCAAGCGUUAUCCGGAUUCAUUGGGUUUAAAGGGUGCGUAGGCGGCCUGAUAAGUCAGUGGUGAAAUCUCUCAGCUUAACUGAGAAACUGCCAUUGAUACUGUCGGGCUUGAGUACAGAUGAUGUGGGCGGAAUAUGACAUGUAGUGGUGAAAUACUUAGAUAUGUCAUAGAACACCGAUUGCGAAGGCAGCUCACAAAACUAGUAACUGACGCUGAGGCACGAAAGUGCGGGGAUCAAACAGGAUUAGAUACCCUGGUAGUCCGCACCGUAAACGAUGAUUACUCGUUGUUGGCAAUAUGACCGUCAGCGACCAAGCGAAAGCGAUAAGUAAUCCACCUGGGGAGUACGCCGGCGAACGGUGAAACGUUAAAUAGAAUUGACGG